CAGCGCCUCACCCCAAAGGGCGGGACCUGGGCGAUAAGCCUCGUCACCGCCGUGCUUUACUGAGCACCUACUCUGUGACCCAUGUCCUGCGUUAUCUCGCUAACCUUCCCUGUAACCAACAAGGAACGUUUGAACAUCUUCCUUUCCUGGCAAACGAGUGGACGUCCCGAGGGUCCCAGCUUCCGGGAGGCUGCUGGGAUGCAGACCUGGGAGGAGCGUCGGGGGUGCAGGCGGACAGGCAGCGUUCUCUGGGAAGUGGAGGGACUCACGUUCUUUGAGGGCUAGUUGCGUGUGGUCACGUGGUCAGCGUUUCUCAUCCGUGGUCUCAUCUUUAUCGCUGCCCCCGCGGAUCAGGUUUAUUGGUCCCACUUCAGGAGCAAGAAACUGGAACCCGGAGAUAUCAGGCCACUAAAGUGCCAUUUACUUGGCCCUGAACUUUAGACAUCAACUAAAGUGAAGCAUCCAUCAUGUCUAAAGAGUCUGCAGGAACAGAAAAAAUUCCUAAUGGAAAUAGGUACUCAACCAUUGUUCAACUCCACUAAGGAGCUGUAUGAAACAGAGGGAACAGUUCAAACCUACAGCAGAAGUUAUUCAAAUCAGCACAAACAGCCUCCCUGAGUUUCACUGGACCCGUGGCCAACCAGCUAGAGGCUACACAAGUCUCCCAUGAACCUAAAUGUGGCCCUAUGCUUCUGUCUGGAAGAUGGAAGCACAAGAAAUUUGCUCAAGUUUCAGGUCCUUAAGGUGGAAGCUUGUUGCCCUUAUUACCUCUUCUUUCUUCUGCCCCACGGGCUGCAACUUGCACCUGGUGUUGGUAAGUCAGCUUUGACUGAGUGGACAAAAGCAGCAACCUGGAGAUGAUGGAGGAUCAAUAUGGAAGAAGUCUGGGCUCCCCCACGUCCUGGCGAAGCAUCUGCACCUACCCACCCCUUGCUAGACACCUCCCUGGGUGCAUUUUGUGUGUAUGAG
Molecule: non-coding RNA, 969 nt
Organism: Microcebus murinus (gray mouse lemur)
Lineage: Eukaryota; Metazoa; Chordata; Mammalia; Primates; Cheirogaleidae
Source: RefSeq, a predicted model, not a curated record